Drosophila ananassae is the source of this 1773-nucleotide long non-coding RNA. RefSeq lists it as uncharacterized. Lineage: Eukaryota; Metazoa; Arthropoda; Insecta; Diptera; Drosophilidae. The record is from RefSeq and is a predicted model, not a curated record. The transcript is spliced from 2 exons.
CUAAUUAUUGUUUCAAGGUUUGAUUUAUGGAUGCAUUUUUGCGAAUAUUUGCGGUUUACGAAGCCUCCAUAUCGUCCUGCGGCUUUGGGUCGAAGGUCGUCUCAGGCUAGUUUCGAACUCGGGAUUCGGCUCUUAAAUAAUUUUUAUUUUUCUGCUUUAACGAGAAGAGCAGAGGAGAGAAAGAGAGAUGGAAAGGUAGCGUAAAUAUCAUGUUUCAUAGUAUCUGUUGUUGUUAUUGUUUCCAGAGUCAGCACAACACUGCGUUACAAUAUUUACUCUCCUUUUUUGCAUUUGGCAAUUUGUUAAUUAAUUGAAACACACAACGAUGUACACUGUUUACUUUACUAUUUUUUUAACACGCAAUAACAAUUACUAUAUUUUGAUUUCCAGUGAAAAGUUACGCACAAUAUUCAACAACAACAACAACACACAGAGAUAAAACAUAUUUUGAAACAAUGAACUUUAAGCUUUAAUUGAAACACAAAACACAGUUUAUUCUAUUUGAUUGCAAGAGGGCCUGGAGUCUAAAAUACUAAGGGUUGUGUGCAUUGCAUUCUAGUUCAGAAAGUACUUAGAGGUCUUGUGAGGGUACGAAUAAAAUUUAAAACAAGACAAAAUAAAUUCUAUAAAAAAAAACGUAAACAAACUUAUUCGAUACGAUAGUCGAUUAGCCUUAUUCGAUAUAAUAAGUCGAUAACAGAUCGCGGUAACAGCGCCUGUUAAGCUGUUAAGGCGAACUAUCUGGCAACUCUGCAAACUGACAAGCUACCCCUCACUAACCCAGGAAAAGUUCUUUUGCGAUCCAGAAUCAAAAGGGAACGGUUGGAGUUAUAGCAAUUAAAAACCCAAGCCAAAUCCACAUCCAAAUCCCACGUGGGAAAAGUUAGUACCCAAAGUGGCACUCAAGUCUUCCACCAAGUGCAGCUGAAUAUUGACCGUGCACGUGCGCAGCCGUUGGCAUCAGCACGCGUGUCUGUGUAUGUGUGUGUGUGUGUCUGAAACAUUCAGGUCAUCCUCAAAACCCCGUAAUAGUGGGCGUAGAGCUACACCGGAGCCUACGACAAACAACGCUUCCCGUCGCGACCCAGAAGUCCACGGCGGAGCCACCGCGUGCCUUGCUGGGUAGACGUUCAGAAACCGCUUUCCUCGAUCAGCUCCUAAACGUGCGCGAAUCCGGACCAGACCCAAGCCACGAUAGGCGAGGAGUUCCCUGGUAGCCGGAGACGUGUGCGUGAUUGGGGCAGCAUAGGAUCAGGAGCGGUGCUGAAACUUUUCGAGGAACGUGGGUGAGGACAUAACCUCACUUUGUGAAGCAGCACCUCGUGUUCGGCAACAUGACCUCGGCCAUGUAAAGGGCAGUUCGGCGAUCGUUGCAGCAAUCAUUUAGAGGCGACUAAAUAACAACAGCAACAACAAGGAGACAUGCGCAAUAAAUUGUGCCAGUAGCAGCGGGUAUUUUUAAGUAGCAUUUAAUUAAAUUUCCUUUUUUGUAAAUUCUAUUGGAUCGAACCAAUACUCAUACUCUUUUCCUGUAGAGCAAAAUAGUUGGCAACAUAUACAUCGAAUCUUCGUAAUUUAAUUUAAAUUUCAUCAAAGCACCCUGCGCUCCAGUCUACAGGCCUGCGGACUUCGAGGGAUUUGGUUUCGUGAGUACAAUAUAGACUCGAUCAUGUAUUAUUGCCGCUCAAAGAAAGCGUAUGAAUAUUUAGGUAUCGUAAUGCAUAAAAUCUACUUUAACUAUUAUUUGACCCAGCUACAUAUAUAUAUAUAUUC